AUAAUUCUAGGUACACUUUCCAGUACACCUACUAUGUUACGACUUAUCUCAUUAAUUAAUGAAAGUGACGGGCGAUAUGUACAUAAUUUAGAGCUCCUAUCUUACAAGCUUAUUAAACUCAUAUUACUAUCAAAUCCUCCUUCCUAGACCAAUCUUACUGAUCUUAUCCAUUUAAAUAAAAUUUAUUGUAACCCAUUUAAACUUAUUCAUAAGCUGCACCUUGAUCUAAUUUUCUUAACAACUCAAUUUCAAUAAUAUAUCUUUUAAAAUUAUCUAAUAAUGACGGUAUACAAACUAAAAAUAAGUAAGAUAUUACGAGGUAUAUCGAUCAAACUUAAACAGGUUCCUCUGACAAGACUAAAUUACCGCCAAAUUCUUUAAAUUUUAAGUUAUAUCUAUAAAUAAUUCAAUAUUUAUUUAUUAAACUUUAAUAUAAUAGGGUAUCUAAUCCUAGUUUAUCUUUAAAGCUUAUUAACCUCCUUUAAAUAUUUUAAAAUUUAUAAAACAACAAUAAUUUCACCUACUGAUAUUCAUAAAAUUAUAUUAUACCCUUCAUAAGUAAUUACAAUACCUAUUUCUUUAUUUAACCUCAAAGUCUAACCGCGAAUGCUGGCACAAAUAUUUUAUCAGAUUAAUUUAUUAUUCACUAGUUCACACUUUCACAUAUUUACUAAAUCUUUACGCUGAGAAUAUAAGUAAUCAUUAUGAUAAUUAUACUCACUUAUAGUUACUAAUAUAAAAUUAGAUUUUUUUCACUAAAAUAACCUUCAUGCGAUAUUAAUAAUAUAACAAAGACUUUAAGCCAGAAUCAAACAUUAG
Molecule: ribosomal RNA, 819 nt
Filed under: Bottapotamon lingchuanense
Lineage: Eukaryota; Metazoa; Arthropoda; Malacostraca; Decapoda; Potamidae
Description: 12S ribosomal RNA
Source: RNAcentral